GGGAAGGACAUUGAUAAUGCUUUCUAGCCAUGUGUGAAGUUUUGCUGCAAAGAGGUCUGUUACAUUUCCCAGAAUGGUUCCCAGUGCUGGAGAUAAUUCCUUUUCGGAGAACCUACAUUUCUCACCUGCUGAUUGCAAUUAGCCACUACCAGCUGGGGCCUGGUGUGCAGCUGAAAAGCUAACAAGAAGUGGAGACCACGCGGAACUCAGACAGGGCAUAGGAUGUGCAUAAAUAAGCAACGGUGCCUGUGUUUAUGAGAUGCUCCUGUGAAUUCGAGGCUUCCCCACCCUCUGCAUAACUCUCCCUCUUCUGGCUUUGUGCUGCACACCCCUCCCCUAACUAUAUUUUUUGUCUCUGGUUUUGUAGCCUACGUUUAACAUCACAGUCACGAAUUUACCACUAAGUACAUUUUGUUAGGCAAUAAACAGCCUUGGAAGAAAAAUGAAAUCCGACUAGGACUUCUGUUCUAAUAAUGUCUGUGAGCUGUGGUGGAUUCAGGCAGGCCCCACAUGCAGGUCUUAGAGCUAACCUUGACCAUGAGGGCUAGUGGGGCUGGGAGAGGGCUCAGGGACCCCAAUUCAACUCCCUUAUUUUAUGGGGGAGGAUACUGAAUCCCAGAACGGGAGCAUGGCCUGUCCAAAGUCUUAAAGGAAGUCACAGGACUGGAU
RNAcentral lists this long non-coding RNA (669 nucleotides) under Homo sapiens (human). RNAcentral's name for it is "HSALNT0281521". Lineage: Eukaryota; Metazoa; Chordata; Mammalia; Primates; Hominidae. The record is from RNAcentral.